Molecule: ribosomal RNA, 1364 nt
Filed under: uncultured bacterium
Lineage: Bacteria
Description: 16S ribosomal RNA
Rfam family: Bacterial small subunit ribosomal RNA
Source: RNAcentral
AGAGUUUGAUCCUGGCUCAGGAUGAACGCUGGCGGCGUGCCUAACACAUGCAAGUCGAGCGAUCUCUUCGGAGAGAGCGGCGGACGGGUGAGUAACGCGUGGGUAACCUGCCCUGUACACACGGAUAACAUACCGAAAGGUAUACUAAUACGGGAUAAUAUAUGAAAGUCGCAUGGCUUUUGUAUCAAAGCUCCGGCGGUACAGGAUGGACCCGCGUCUGAUUAGCUAGUUGGUAAGGUAAUGGCUUACCAAGGCAACGAUCAGUAGCCGACCUGAGAGGGUGAUCGGCCACACUGGAACUGAGACACGGUCCAGACUCCUACGGGAGGCAGCAGUGGGGAAUAUUGCACAAUGGGCGAAAGCCUGAUGCAGCAACGCCGCGUGAGCGAUGAAGGCCUUCGGGUCGUAAAGCUCUGUCCUCAAGGAAGAUAAUGACGGUACUUGAGGAGGAAGCCCCGGCUAACUACGUGCCAGCAGCCGCGGUAAUACGUAGGGGGCUAGCGUUAUCCGGAAUUACUGGGCAUAAAGGGUGCGUAGGUGGUUUUUUAAGUCAGAAGUGAAAGGCUACGGCUCAACCGUAGUAAGCUUUUGAAACUAGAGAACUUGAGCGCAGGAGAGGAGAGUAGAAUUCCUAGUGUAGCGGUGAAAUGCGUAGAUAUUAGGAGGAAUACCAGUAGCGAAGGCGGCUCUCUGGACUGUAACUGACACUGAGGCACGAAAGCGUGGGGAGCAAACAGGAUUAGAUACCCUGGUAGUCCACGCCGUAAACGAUGAGUACUAGGUGUCGGGGGUUACCCCCCUAGGUGCGGCAGGUGAGGCAUUAAGUACUCCGCUUGGGAAGUACGCUGGCAAGAGUGAAACUCAAAGGAAUUGGCGCGGGACCCGCACAAGUAACCGGAGCAUGGGGUUUAAUUUGAAGCAAUGUGAAGAGCGUUAUCUCAGCUUGACAUGGCAUUGACCUCUCCCUCAUCGGAGAGUUCCGUUCGGGGUCAGUGCAGACAGGUGGUGCAUGGUAGUCGUCAGCUCGUGUGGUGAAGAUGGUGGGUUAAGUCCCGCACCGAGCGCAUACCCUUGCCGUGAGUGGCCAGCAUUAAGUGGGGCAGUCUAGAGGGGUUUCCGGGGAGGAAUGGGGGGAAGGUGGGGAAGGCGUCAAAUCAUCAUGCCCUCUAUGAUUAGGCCCCCCCGCGUGUUCCAAUGGUGGGUACAAAGGGUAGGCAAGCCGGGAGGGGGAGCGGAUCCCUAAAAGCCACUGUCAGCUGGGAUGGUCGGGAGAAACUCGCGUACAUGAAGCGGGAGUUUAUAGUAAUCGCAGAUCAGAACGAGGCGGGGAACGAGUUCCCGGGUCUUGCACACGCCGCCCGUCA